UCGGGAAUUUUGGGCAAUGGGCGAAAGCCUGACCCAGCAACGCCGCGUGAAGGAUGAAGUAUUUCGGUAUGUAAACUUCGUAAGAAUAGGAAGAAUAAAUGACGGUACUAUUUGUAAGGUCCGGCUAACUACGUGCCAGCAGCCGCGGUAAUACGUAGGGACCAAGCGUUGUUCGGAUUUACUGGGCGUAAAGGGCGCGUAGGCGGUGUGUCAAGUCAGUUGUGAAAUCUCCGAGCUUAACUCGGAACGGUCAACUGAUACUGUCACACUAGAGUACAGAAGGGGCAAUCGGAAUUCUUGGUGUAGCGGUGAAAUUCGUAGAUAUUAGGAAGAACACCAGUGGCGAAGGCGGCUCACUGGAUCGGUACUGACGCUGAGGUGCGAAAGCGUGGGGAGCAAACAGGAUUAGAUACCCGCGUAGUCCCUGAGCGGGCUGGCAAGGCGCAU
RNAcentral lists this ribosomal RNA (447 nucleotides) under uncultured bacterium. RNAcentral's name for it is "bacterial SSU rRNA". It matches the Rfam family "Bacterial small subunit ribosomal RNA", at positions 355 to 825 of the family's 1533-position model. The record is from RNAcentral.